CCUGGUCUGUAUUAUAAGAAGUCUGUUGUACAUGGCUCAGAUUAAAUAAUGAAGUUCAUACUAAUUAACAGUAUGAUCAGUUGAUUGCAAACAGAUGUGUAUAGGCUGUUCUAACUGUUCCUAACCCCCUCCCAUUUGCCUGCAGUAACUGGCUGCAUGGAAUGGAAGGUGCUAAUCCCCUGCAGACAGAGCUCAUGCUAGGCAGUACUGGCUGUCAGGUUUUUUAAACAGCUGAGACAGACACCAGCCCACUCCUGCUGGUCUUUGCAGGGUCAGAAGUACAUUGCAGGUGAGCACAGUCUCUGUGGCAGCUGGCAGCAAGGAGACGAGAUUGUUGUCUGCAAGGGUGUGGGGAGGUAGAGCUGACAUCCCUCAUCUUGGCCUCCUGGGAGGCUUUGUGGCAGCUGCUUCCCUGGAGCACUGGGAAGGACAGCAGUCGUGGCCCUGGCCCUGCCACUGUACCUACUGCAAGGGUGGUUGGAACUGCUAAAGGUCACUUUGGGCAGGCUUCUGUGCCACCAGCCCAGCGUGCACAAGGUGACAGAGAGAUCUGACCAGACAUCAAAGUGCUUGAUUAAAUAGAAGCUCUCCUGUUGCUUCCCAAGAUGGAUAUGGAGUAUGUGAUAAAUGGCCAAUAGCUUGCCUGACAUUGUCCAAAGGCUGUAAACACUAACUGAAUCCCCAUUCUCACCUGCUGCCGGUUACUGCUUCCUGCUCUCUCCUUGUCUUACUGAUGUCGUUUUGCAAACCAUUUUGGAACACCUUAAAUUUGAGCAUAUUACAGAGUCCUUUCACAAGAUCGGUAUUUGUGAAAAGAAAGCUUAUCAUCUGAAGACUUUGAUGCUAUAAUACGUUAUGUAACAAAUACCACAGUGUCAAAAUCUCCUUGUGCCUAUGAUGUGCUACUUAUUGCUCUCACCUGUAGCGCUCCAGUUCAUGAUGGCAGCAAAGGGGCAAUUUGACAAAAAGAUGUCUGAAGCGAAGGUGUGUCGCUGAAUUCCUCCAUGUAGAAGCAACUGCACUCAUUGAUGUUUAUUGAUGCUUGCUGAACGUUUAUGGAGACUUAACAGUGGAUGUGAGCACAGUGAGGAGGUGGGUGGUGCAUUUCAUCAGUGGUAACAGUGACAGUGGGUCACCUCCACUGCUACAGGUUGUUAUGAGUGCGUCAUGCAGGCUGUUGUUCAUCACUGGUGAAAAUGUAUAGUUUGUGGUGGUGACUGUGUUGAAAACUAGUCUUUUGUAGCUGAGAAUUUGCUCUAUCACCUACUGUUCUUGUGCUCUUUGUAUCUACUGUAGUUUCUGUGGAAAUGAAUUGGAGGCAUUGCUUUCAGAUCUACAUAGGUACAUCAUGAAAAUAAAUAGCUUGUUUAAAGAAUGAGUCUAUUCAUACUCUAGUGAGGGAGAAGUAACAGCCUGCACUUAUCUCUUAGUAAACACCACACAUGAGAUCCACAACAUAAGUCUCCCAUCCCAUGGAACUACUUGUUUAUGAAUGCUAUUUAGAGGCAUCUGUCUUUUAUGUGAUAAUCUUUUUUUUUAUUAGCAUAUACAACUUUAAUAUUUAGCAAACCCAUCUUGCAUAACAUUCUAUGAUUUACUGAAAUGAUAUGCAGACUGCAGAAUCGGCAGUGCUGAUAAAAGUGACUGCUCCCAUCUAAUGGUAAAUGGAAGAACAACAGGAAAAUAAUAAUAAUAAUAAAAAAUUCUGCUUUACAGCAGUAACUGUAGGCACAUUGAAAGUUAUAUUCCCAGAUCCAGAGGGUUCAAAAUAGAACCUAAAUAAGAUAGCAAGUAGGAGGAUAAGAGGAU
This 1809-nucleotide long non-coding RNA is filed under the name Gallus gallus (chicken). RNAcentral describes it as "lncRNA (ENSGALG00010018364.1)". The record is from RNAcentral. Lineage: Eukaryota; Metazoa; Chordata; Aves; Galliformes; Phasianidae.